UAACACGUGGACAAUCUGCCCCCCGGCCCGGGAUAGCCCAGGGAAACCUGGAUUAAUACCGGAUGAGACGGGACCCGCGAAGGCGGGACCCGGGAAAGGCGCUGCGGCGCCGCCGGGGGAUGAGUCUGCGUCCCAUUAGCUAGACGCGGGGUAACGGCCCACCGUGGCGACGAUGGGGUAGCCGGGCCUGAGAGGGGUGGACGGCCACAUUGGAACUGAGACACGGUCCAGACUCCUACGGGAGGCAGCAGCUAAGAAUCUUCCGCAAUGGGCGAAAGCCUGACGGAAGCGACGCCGCGUGAACGAAGAAAGGCCGUGAGGUUGUAAAGUUCUUUUCGGGAGGGGGAACAACCGUGGCAGGGAAUGGCCGCGGGAUGACGUGAAUCCCGGAAUAAGCCCCGGCUAACUACGUGCCAGCCGCCGC
This 424-nucleotide ribosomal RNA is filed under the name uncultured bacterium. RNAcentral describes it as "bacterial SSU rRNA". It matches the Rfam family "Bacterial small subunit ribosomal RNA", at positions 111 to 518 of the family's 1533-position model. The record is from RNAcentral.